Non-coding RNA from Xyrichtys novacula (pearly razorfish), 2971 nucleotides. NCBI's taxonomy places the organism in Eukaryota, Metazoa, Chordata, Actinopteri, Labriformes, Labridae. The record is from the annotation of a GenBank genome assembly.
UGCUGCUAUUGCCCUGACAUACACUUAAUAGAAAGACCUGUUAAUAUCGACUGAUCAUUACAUCUCUACUGUUAUCAAAAAUGUAAGGGGAAAGCAAACAGCCUGUCCAAGAUAACAUGCAAAAAGACAUGAAAAGAAAAUCAUUUCUCCCACAGAGGUCAGUAUUGCUGUAAAAGAGGUUUGCCAAAGAUGGGUAGUGAAAGGGCAACUGGGAAAAGAAGCUUGUGUAAAAAUUAAAAUAGUUAUCGGAUUCCUCUGUUUUGGACACAACUUUUCCUAAUCACUUUGAGCAAACUUUAAAAUGAUCUUUAUACAGUUCAUACAAAUAUUUUGGCUGACUGAUUUGCCAAGAGUGCUGUAUUAAAAGAUCAGUUUAACUUUUUUUUAAUCAAGUAAGCAAUUUAGAUAUUUAAAUGCACUAAGAGAAUGAUAAAAUAAGAAUGCUUUAACAAUGGAGACUUUUCUUUUAUUAUUGUUUUCCUCUGUAAUUGUACAGAUUUUUUCCCCAAAAUCUGCAUAUGACAUACAAACACGUGAUGGAAAUGUAGUAUUAUUUUCACAGAAUUCUCCUUUUACCGACCCGACCUCAAACACCUCACAAUGCAUUAUACGUGGAAAAACUAGGUAGCUCACCAUCUCUUAAUCCUGCUGAUUUUUUACAUGGACUUCAGUGCGGAUUUCAACACUAGAUCAUGAUUUUAACCAAUGGGACCUGCAACAAACUCUAUCUGUGCUUACCUGGGCUGCUUGGGUGAAGAGGAGGAUGGUAGUCCCGCUGCAGUACUAGCAGAAACGGCAGCUGGAGUUGACGAAGUUGUUUUAAUCCACAAACAGUCGAAGGUAGGCUGCUGCAUCUCACUUUAUUCUUAAUUUCAGUUUUGGUGAAAUGUGGCCAAACUUUGGGCCACUACUUUACCUGUGGCGGCCAUCUUCUUGUGACGUCGAGCCCAAGGUGGAUUGUUGCGUGCAUACACCGGCAAAAUUUCUUGAUCCGAUGAUAAAUUUGAGGGAUCGGAUAAUCUGAAUCCACAGUUUACAUGGGUACAAAAUCAAUCCGAUCAUGGCGAGGGUAUAUGUACCAAACUUUAUUCAGAUUAGAAGCAUUUGGACAUGCGCAGAGUUGUCUAAAUUCGCUAAAACAACCACAGAAGAAGAGCUGCAUUUAUGCCUGCACCGUCGCGGUAGUGGCUCAAUCCAACAACUUCAGGAGUUUCCCCCUAAUAAAUGUUGUCACCGGUCGGCGCGGCGCCCUUGCGUAGCCUACUGAUGUUACCUUUCUUUCAAGGGUUGCACUGUGCGUGCGGAUGUGACGUCAUUACGCUGUGUGUAGGCCUUGUUAUGUUACCGGAGGAGCAGACACGGCAAGUGUGGUUGUGUUUUAUGCCAGAGUGUUAAUAAUGACACCUCCUAUACCUGCCUCAAUCAAUAAGCCCAAGUCUAAAGACUGAAGACCGGGUCAGGUAAGAGAGUCAUGAUAGGAAUAAGUGUUUACAUGGACGCGUUUCUGAAUAAGGAUCGGCAUGAACCAACCCCUCUCGAUCGGAAUACAAUUUCUCUCCGAUUGAGCCAAAUCGGAUCAGAAUCUUCAUGUUUACGUGACGCAUUUUUAUUCCGAUCGUUUUGUUGUUGUUGUUUGUUUGUUUGUUUAUGUGUCCAUGUAAACUCAGCCAUUGUGGUGUUUUAACCUAUUUGUUACCCUUUCACAAACAUCAGAACACAGCUAGCAUUAGCUUUCAGCCACUUACUAGUUAAAGUUCAAAAUCCACAAAUACAACAGGAAACAAAUUACCUUCACUAUUUUAUUGAUGGCUAUUUUAGAAGAGCUAAUGUUUAUGUUGGUGUCUGUGUUUGAAUUAUAUUAUCAAGCCAGUAAUGCUGAGUACACAUAUUAAACCCAAGCAUGUUGGUGUCAGGCUUAAAUAUGAGAUCCUGUAAAUUGAGGAUUUUCAGACUGUUACCAUGACAACCUCUUAUCUUAAUUAUUUCAGUCUAUGAUCAUUCAGCUGAAAGUCGCUGGUGCACAGGGUCACUGAUCAAACCAUCACAGCAGUCUUACCCUCAUUAUAAUAAGACAUGAUCUGUGAAUAGGAUAAGAAAUGUUACUUGUGUAUCUGCUAUGUAUUUCAAAUACGUCAUCAAACUAUACUAUUAAUCUUCAAAUAAGUACAGCUACUGAAUUGAGGCAAUUUAUCCUGAUGUUGAAGACACCUACACAGAAUUGUAUUGAACUGUUGGCUAGUUAACAUGAUCUAAAAUAGACAGUGACAUAAACACAUUUAAAGUAUUUAUCAGUAAAAUGCUUAACAAAUGUGUCUUUCCCCUGUUGUAUGAUUUUUGAAUGGUAACUGUAAGGGGCUGAGUGCAAAUGUUAGCUGUAUCCUAAUGUUGGCUAAUAGGCGGUCAAAUGUGGGUUUUUUAAUAUCCUCCUGAUUUCUCUCCUAAUCAGCUCUUUCCUUUGUGUGGCUCCUCAUCAAUCACGGUGCUGUGAAAUGACUACAGUUUGCCAUAAUAUUAAGGUUUAUAUGAUAGAUGACCAGGAAUACUGUAAUAAUGAUAAUACAUAAUGAUAAAAGAAGACUUAAACCACUCUGAGCAUGACUUCAACAGGAAAAUGACCAAAAUUGGGCCAAUUUUAAGUUUUUCAAGAACUUUGACUUUUUAUCAAUGAAGGUGCACUAUUGUUUUUAUAACUCAAAGUAAAACGUUACUCUAUGUGUCCCUUGAGACCCCAUAUUAGAAUUGCAUAGCUUGAAUGUUACUGAUGUGGGUUUUAAAAAUGCAGAACCUUUUUUUUUUUUAAAUGGAGCUAGGUCUUGAUCAUUAUGCUGUGUCCAGGACAUCCUCGCUGGCUUUAAAGAUAAGCGGUUGGAGCAUUUAAGGUUGCUGACCCAGUUAACACUUGCCUGAAGAUAUUUCCACCUGUUCACACACACACAACUUCCCCACUGACUUUUCCCUCUUGACAGAUAGA